AGGACGAACGCUGGCGGCGUGCUUAACACAUGCAAGUCGAGCGGUAAGGCCUUUCGGGGUACACGAGCGGCGAACGGGUGAGUAACACGUGGGUGAUCUGCCCUGCACUUCGGAAUAAGCCUGGGAAACUGGGUCUAAUACCGGAUAUGACCUCAGGUUGCAUGACUUGGGGUGGAAAGAUUUAUCGGUGCAGGAUGGGCCCGCGGCCUAUCAGCUUGUUGGUGGGGUAAUGGCCUACCAAGGCGACGACGGGUAGCCGACCUGAGACGGGGUCGUACCGGGCCAACGACGUCGGGACUUAGGAGACACGGCCCAGACUCCUACGGGAGGCAGCAGUGGGGAAUAUUGCACAAUGGGCGAAAGCCUGAUGCAGCGACGCGCGUGAGGAUGACGGCCUUCGGGUUGUAAACCUCUUUCAGCAGGACGAAGCGCAAGUGACGGUACCUGCACGAAGAACGCAACCGGCUAAACUACGUGCCGAGCAGCCGC
RNAcentral lists this ribosomal RNA (489 nucleotides) under uncultured soil bacterium. Its description in RNAcentral is "bacterial SSU rRNA". It matches the Rfam family "Bacterial small subunit ribosomal RNA", at positions 26 to 518 of the family's 1533-position model. The record is from RNAcentral.